UGUUCGGGCCUAGUGUCUUCCUGGUAGAAGU
This 31-nucleotide non-coding RNA is filed under the name Mus musculus (house mouse). The record is from RNAcentral. Lineage: Eukaryota; Metazoa; Chordata; Mammalia; Rodentia; Muridae.